GCUGGGCAUUGUGGUGUGUGCCUGUAGUCCCAGCUACUCAGGAGGCUGAGGUGGGAGGAUCACUUGAGCCCAGGAGGUCAAGGCUGCAGUGAGCCGAGAUUGUGCCACUGCACUCCAGCCUGGGCAACAGAGUGAGGCCCUGUCUCAA
Molecule: signal recognition particle RNA, 148 nt
Filed under: Nomascus leucogenys (northern white-cheeked gibbon)
Lineage: Eukaryota; Metazoa; Chordata; Mammalia; Primates; Hylobatidae
Description: Metazoan signal recognition particle RNA
Rfam family: Metazoan signal recognition particle RNA
About the family: The signal recognition particle (SRP) is a universally conserved ribonucleoprotein. It is involved in the co-translational targeting of proteins to membranes.
Source: Rfam by way of RNAcentral